GCGAGUAAGAUUGUUUCGUGUUUGAUUUGAAAUCAUGCUUUUCAUAUUAGCUUAUGAUGCUCGCU
RNAcentral lists this transfer RNA (65 nucleotides) under Plagiorchis maculosus. RNAcentral describes it as "tRNA-Ser". The record is from RNAcentral. Lineage: Eukaryota; Metazoa; Platyhelminthes; Trematoda; Plagiorchiida; Plagiorchiidae.